AUCAAGGCUAGAGUCAUGCUUGACUGCUGGCUACUGCCUUAGUGGGCUACAGUUCUCAAAAAGUAACUGCUGACCUUAUUCACUGACUGUGAGCUUUGUGGCACAGUCAGUUACUACGGCAGUAACAUGU
Molecule: small nucleolar RNA, 130 nt
Organism: Cavia porcellus (domestic guinea pig)
Lineage: Eukaryota; Metazoa; Chordata; Mammalia; Rodentia; Caviidae
Product: small nucleolar RNA SNORA3/SNORA45 family
Source: Ensembl